GACGAACGCUGGCGGCGUGCCUAAUACAUGCAAGUCGAGCGAAGUUUUUCUGGUGCUUGCACCGGAAAAACUUAGCGGCGAACGGGUGAGUAACACGUAAAGAACCUGCCUCAUAGACUGGGACAACUAUUGGAAACGAUAGCUAAUACCGGAUAACAGCAUUAACUGCAUGGUUGAUGUUUAAAAGUUGGUUUUGCUAACACUAUGAGAUGGCUUUGCGGUGCAUUAGCCAGUUGGUGGGGUAAAGGCCUACCAAGGCGACGAUGCAUAGCCGACCUGAGAGGGUGAUCGGCCACACUGGGACUGAGACACGGCCCAGACUCCUGCGGGAGGCAGCAGUAGGGAAUCUUCCGCAAUGGGCGAAAGCCUGACGGAGCAACGCCGCGUGAGUGAAGAAGGAUUUCGGUUCGUAAAGCUCUGUUGUUAGGGAAGAAUGAUUGUGUAGUAACUAUACACAGUAGAGACGGUACCUAACCAGAAAGCCACGGCUAACUACGUG
RNAcentral lists this ribosomal RNA (499 nucleotides) under uncultured bacterium. Its description in RNAcentral is "partial 16S ribosomal RNA". It matches the Rfam family "Bacterial small subunit ribosomal RNA", at positions 28 to 507 of the family's 1533-position model. The record is from RNAcentral.